GAUGUCCGGCGCCCCCUGGGCAACCAGGGUCUAUGCCAACCCGUCGUCUUGCUCAUCCGGUGUGCCCUGAGAACGAGAUAUGUGCAGCUCCUAUCGGGAUUUGUCGGCACAUCGGGCGGCUUUGCUGGUCUUGUUUUACCAUUGUCGAAAUGUCUUGAUGUACCGGGAUACCGAGUCUGAUCGGAGUGUCUUGGGUGAAGGUCUAUUCCUUCGUUGAUCGCGAGAGCUUGUCAUGGGCUAAGUUGGGACACCCCUGCAGGGUAUAAACUUUCGAGAGCCGUGCCCGCGGUUAUGUGGCAGAUGGGAAUUUGUUAAUGUCCGGUUGUAGAAAACCCGAAGUUGACCUUAAUUAAAAUACAUCAACCGUGUGUGUAACCGUGAUGGUCUCUUUCCGGCGGUGUCCGGGAAGUGAACACGGUGUUGGAGUUAUGCUUGACGCAGGUUGCUAUAGGAUCACUUCUUGAUCAUACUUUUAUCGACCGUGCUUUGCCUUCUCUUCUCGCUCUCAUUUGCGUAUGUUAGCCACCUUAUAUGCUAGUCGCUUGCCGCAGCUCCACCUCAUUACUACAUCCUUCCUAUAAGCAUAAAUAGUCUUGAUCUCGCGGGUGCGAGAUUGCUGAGUCCUCGUGACUCACCAGAUACUUCCAAAACCAGUUUGCAGGUGCCUAUGUUACCGAGCAGGUGACGCAACCAAGCUCAAGGAGGAGCUCGAUGAAGAUCUUGCCCCUUUGUGUUGUUUCGUUCUAGUUGAUCAGUAGUGGAGCCCAGUUGGGGUCGAUCGGGGACCUUUGUUGCAUUUGGGGUUCUUCUUUUAUUUUGGUUCCGUAGUCGGACCUUGAUUGUAUCUGGAUGAUGUAAUGCUUUAUUCAUGUAUUUGUGUGAAGUGGCGAUUGUAAGCCAACUAUGUAUCUCUUUCCCUUAUGUAUUACAUGGGUUGUGUGAAGAUUACCUCACUUGCGACAUUGCUUUCAAUGCGGUUAUGCCUCUAAGUCGUGCUUCGACACGUGGGAGAUAUAGCCGCAUCGAGGGCGUUACAAGUUGGUAAUCAGAGCCUUCCCCGACCUUAGGAGCCCCACUGCUUGAUCGUUUUUAGCGGCCGAGUUGUGUCUAGAAAAAUGUUUUGAGUCAUUUAGGAUUAUAUAUAUCGGAGAGUUUAGGAGUUCUUUUUACUCCCCAGUCCCUUCGACCUUCUGGUAAGGCAUCCUGACGUAGAGUUUUGACUCUUCUCUUCUCAAAUUUCACUAAAUUUUUUUUAGGAUCAUGCGGGUAUCUUGGAAUUGUUCCGAUGGUUUUAUGAUGACAACAUUGUCUUGGUGCCUCCAGUCAGCAGGGGUUUUUUUUGGAGGUGUCCCGGGGAGUUGAGCUCUGAGGUGUUGUCGUCAUAAUUUUAUCGUUGCAGUUCUGGAAUACCUGAGUUUAGUACGCCGACAUCGAAAAUCUCUUUUAUGCAGUUGUUGGUGAGAUAACCCCGCUAACCCAGUACUGAGGUGAGUACGGGAGUAUUGCCAUGACUCGUAUAACGGAUGCUUUUCGAAGGUUGAGGUACACGAUUUCCGAAGGUUUCUUGGUUAUGUGUUGACGGAUGGAUACAGCUGGAUGUAGGGAUUGUUAGUUUGGGUGAGAUAUAUUGCUUCCCCUGUAUCCCCAACACCAGAUUGCAUAACCAGAAAGUUUCGGGAGUUUAUAGGUGGGAAUUCAAGUAGUUCCUAGAAUAUAUUUCCGACAAAUGCAUGAUAUGGGAUUGGGUAAAUCUCUAUCAUAUGUAUUUGUUCCGGCUUAUUCUGCAAGCCAAUCCUUUGUUUUGUUUUAUUUGUGGUAUUCGAGUUGCUUCAAAGUCAAAUGUUGAAUCCAUACCUUUCCUAAACGGUGUUCUCAUAUUGCUAUGUGAAUACUAAUCCUUUUUAAUCAUUGAGGUUGUCAUGUUAAUCCUUUUCCAACCGGUGCGCUUCUCUUCGAGAUGAUCCCAUCAUUCUCCCCAUCCGCAAGACCAAUUAUCAUUUCUUCUCAACGGUAUUUGUUUCAUCCGUCUCCAAGUUGCCUUUGUUUUUUUCCGCCCACCCACCCUUUUUCCUCAAGGACUAAGAUUUCUUUAUCAAGUAUCCUUUUAUUUUUGUGAAGUUUCUCCAUUCUUUUCCGUCAAUGUUCUUACCCGGUGGUUCUCAAGAAGAUGUUCUACUACUUCGUCAUUCCUCAUUCAUUUCUCUUCUCCGGUGGAUUCAAGUCAAGUUUUGUUGAUCAUACCUUUUUCCUCAUUUCAAUGUCUUCUCAUACCGGUGCACCUAAUUAUCAUUCUUCUUGCUAUUUGUUAUUCCGGAGUGCUCAAGAUAUCUCGAAGAUUCGUGUUUCCACUCUGCAUUCGUUCAAGCUCUUUCGAGAUUGUUAUCUCAUUCAAGCCAUUUAAUUCAACCGGUGCAACAUCUCUUUUAAAUCUUUUCAACGGUGUUCUUUUGAGUGGGCCCUAACCCACAGGUCUUUUCCCAGGAUCUUACCUGACUCUUCUAUUUUCCCAGAGCUAUCCUAAAUUCUUCUCCAAGUUUGACGUAAGAAUGAGUUAUCAUCAGUCAAAUGCUUUUCUCCAAGAUCUUUCAAAUUCUUUUCAUAGUUGGCUCAACCUCUUCGCUUUUGAUUCUUCCGGUGUGCCUCAAUAAUUCUUGGUGGUGUUUCUCGUUGUCAUUCUCAUCAUUUGAAGGCUGAAGAAGAGUUUCUCUUUAAUCUUGCUCUAUUCUCUUCAAGAUUCAUGGUGAUAGCUUGUCGCCAUCCUCUAAUAAUUCUUUUCGAUUGUGAGAUUUUUUUUUCACCCAUCCGGAGCGUUUUAGGAGUCUUUUCAGUUUCAUUCUUUGAAGCCCAUCAUCUCAAUUUUAUUCAUUCAAGCUUUCAGCUCUCGUUCUCCAAAUCAUACCGGUGCAUCAUUCAAGUAUUCUCUAAUCAGCUCGUGAUCUAUUCGUUCAUUUGCUAAUUCUUACCGGUGAUGCACCCCUACUUCGAUUAUUUUCAAUUCUUACGGUGGUUCUUUCAAGAUCUCUCUUCCUUGUUCAUCAUAUCAAUUCAUUUGUUGUUCCAAUCCUACCGGUGGUUCGUUCAAGAGUUCUCUUCCUUCGUUAUCAUAUAGAUUCAUUCGUUCUUUCCAAAUCCUACCGGUGGUUGUUGAAGACCUUUUUAAAGUUUACGCCAUAUCUCUCUUAAUCCUUUCUACGAGAAUAAGUAGUAUGCCAAAUCCGUUGCUUGUCAUCAAUUUAAAUUGGUGAAGGAUACGCAUAACAUAAUUCUUGUUCUUGUUUCAUCAAAGUGAGUAAUUCCUUUUUUCGGAGUUUGUUCAUGAUGAAUGAAUUCUCGGUUUCAGUUGUUUCAUCUUCUCUUUUUCCCGGAGUUCCAAGCUCUAAUCAUCAUGAAGAUCCAUCUAAAUCUUUGCAAGGAUUCACCUUGUGUUUUCAACUUCUCUUCUUCUCAUCAUCCUUUUAUUACCAGAGUUCUUCAUGGAGGCUCUACAUGAUGGUUCGUCAAGGUUUCUUUUCAUUCUUCAAUUGUUCUUCAAGAUUUCUCUUGAAGUUGUGACCCGUCAAGCUAUACUCUAAAAUAAACAUGGUGCUCAACACAUGUUUUGUUUUGAGGCGUUCAAGUAUUCUUCAUCUUGCAUUCCGAAGUGCGAUUCUUUCUACCUUAUCUUCUGAGGUGGUGUUAGGUCAUUCUUGAUAAUUUUCCCUUCGCGUUUCAUGAUUCACAAGUUUUCAAGAGUGACAUAUUUAAAUCCAUCUUUUUCUCUUUGUUCAAGAGAUCUUUUCAACUGUCAAUCUCUUCAUUGGAGUUAUCUGGGUAUAGAUUUCACCUAAAGCCUUCCCUAAGGAAUGUUGCUAUUUUGGUGCUUAUUAAUGACCCAAGUUAUCUCUUUUCCAUCUUGAUGGAACAAGAUUUCAUCUCUUCGUUAAUCUCAAGCAAGAAAUUGUUUCCGUUUGUGGUUGGUUGUCACCUCAUCAUUUAGAGAUGUUUGCCAUAAGCCCACAACAAGCUUGUGCUUUUCGUUGUUGAUUUUCCAACAACUCCGUUCAAUUCUUAUUUGCAAGGAUGCUUUCCAAGCUCAUUUGUGGUAGAAGUUGUCAUUUCCCCCUCCAUUCUGCUAUUCCAGGGAUCUAUCUUCUAUUCUUUCUUCUGGAGGCAUUGUGAUGUUGCUCUUUUCACUCAUCAUCUCGAAUUGUGAGGAUCAUGUUCUUUUCUUGCUUAUCCAUUCAACCGGAGUGUUGUGUUCUCAUUCAAGUUUUUUUCAUCUUAUCAAGUUUUCCUUCUUCUUUCAGUCGGAGUGCUGCUCAAAUUAUAUCAAUCUUAUCCCUUCUCUAUCUUGUUUUAACCGGAGUGGUUUCGAAUUCUAUCUUGUCCAUUAAACUCUUGGUUCGUCUCUUUGCAAUCUUCAAGUUCUCGUAAUGUUCCUUGUUCCUCUUUUCUAACGGAUUGUUUGCAAUCUCGUUCUUCUCAGUUGUGCUCUUUCUUUUAAAUUUCUCAACCUCUCAAGGUUCGUGGUUUCACUCGUUCGUCAAAGAAGCAACUUAGUUUUACCUCUUCUCUUUCUCUUCCGUUUUUCCUAUGUUGCCAUUCUAGAUCUCGGGACGAGAUCCUCUCAUAGUGGUGGAGUGUUGUAACGCCCCGAGACCGACGCUUCAGAAGACUUCCAGCUACUCCGAGUUUCGUCAUGUGAUUUGUUUUGUUUGUUGCUUUCAUCUUUGCAUCAUUUGCAUUGCAUCAUGUCAUCAUGCCAUCAUUUCAUUAAUUUUAAACCUCAACUAAAUAAAUGGCAUGGAUCUUUGGUCCAUUUAAAUAGAGGGAAUUCACUCAUGAUUUCUCUUUAUAACAUAUUAAAGCCUCUCAAUAGGGAGCUAUAAUAAAAUUAUUCCAUUUAUUUGGAAUUAACCAAAACACACUUGCAAAAUAAUUUCGUUCCUUUUCUGCUUCAAGUUUGGUCUCCAACUUGCCCGUAAAUUAUUUCGUCAUUUUCCGGAGCUCCACCAAAAAUCCGAACAUUUUUGGACCUUCCUUUUAUCAAGUCCUAGUUCAAACCCAUUUGAAUUAAAUUCAAAUGAGUUUGAAUUCUUAUCUUUCAAUCAUGGCCUUUCUAUUUUUCUUGGAACGAGCAUAUUUUUGUGAGUCCAGGGAAAUUAACCCCUUGCACAUAUUCUUUCCCUAACCCUUUCUUUCUUUCCUUCUCUCUAUUUCUUUUCUGUUAAGAAAAAUAUGAGAGGAAGGGAGAGAGAGAGCCUGCACCCAACAGCCUGGGCCUUCCAACCUCCCGCGCCGGCCCAUCCAUCCCUAAGCCCGCAUGGGCCAAGGCUCUCCCACCGGCCUCUUUAGGCCCAGCCGGCCCCAGCACCUAACCCUAGCCCGACUCCCAUCGGUCUCCAUCUCUCCCUCGUCCUCCUCCAGCGCCGCUACCCCGUGCCCGAUCCCCACGCGCAGGCUCGACCCCCCUCGCUCGAUCUCAUCUCCCUCUCGUCCCUCUGCCCGCCGCCGCACUCACACGCCGCAUCGAGCUCCCAGUGCCCGAUCCCCAUCGCCUCCUCUUGUCCCUUGCCGCGCAGCGCCUGACCCCCUCGCCGAGGCCAUGGCCGCCGCCGCACCUUCUUCCCUUCCUCGCCAUCGCCGCCCUGGCGAGCGCCGCCCCAACGCCCUCCAUGCGACGCCUCCCUUUCUCCUGCUCCUCUGCGACACCCUGCUGUCACCAAGUCCCGGCCUCCAACGCCAGGAUCGGCCCCGAGCUACUGCGCCGCUCCGACGACCCCAUCUUCGCGCCGGGCCCCGAUCUGCUCGAGCGCCACCCCGCCGCCUCGCGCCUCCACCUCCUCGCUGGUCACCCGCAGCUCGCCGCGCCCUGCUUCUCCUUCCCUGCCUCCACCGCGAGCCCACCAUGGCGCCCGCAGCCAUCCUCUUCACCCCGCGUCCCCACCGGCUCCCGUCGCUGGAGUUCAUGCCCAAGGCCGCUGCAACCUCACCUUCGGCCAUGCCUUGCUUUCCUGUGCUGUUAUUCCCUGCACGCCAAGACCACCCCCGUGGAUUUUACCAAGUACCACCGUGACCCAUGUGCGACUAUGCGGAUUCACCAAGUACCCCUCCAGCAAGACCGACGCCUGAACAAGCACACCGGCUCUGUGGAUUUCGGCAAGUCCCUCCGACGACCGGCGCUUAGUACCACUAUGUUUGCCAUGUACAUCUACACCAAGACCGGUCCGACAAGUACCACGACGUCCGUGAACCACUACCGUUGUCCCGAAGAUGUUGGAUUCGUCAAGUACCUCUCCGAAAACGAACGUGUACCACUACUUCCACGACGCUCGUGAACGUCUAUCUCCACGACGACCCGUGAACGUCUACGAGAUGUACCACUACCGUCGACCCGUGAACGUCUACUUCCCUCUACAAACUCGAUCCGCCCGAAAUGCACGCUUCGAAGGUAUAACACCGAGAUGAUGUCCGUGGACCGAAUGCAUGUUGUAUGAGAUGCCCGUUUUUGCAUCGUGUCCGUUUGUCACUCGUUUCCAUGCCACUAUCCCGUGGGAACCCGGAAGCUGGGAGCACCCCACUAUCUUGCAUGACUUGUUCACGCCUCCUUUUGCGCCGGUAUCUCCGUGAGCUACCGGAACCGAUAUGUUGCCGUGGCAUCAUUUUCGGAUAUGUUGCCGUGGCAUCAUUUUCGGAUAUGUUGCCGUGGCACCAUUUUUGUUUCGCCGCCGUGGCACCCUUUUCGUUCCGCCAUGGUGACCAAAUGCUCCUUAUCAUGCUCAUGUCAACAUUUUCAUAAAAAUUGCAUAGAACUUGCAUAUGUCAUCCGCAUCAUGAUAACAACAAUUAAAAUGUUUAAAAUUUGUUGUUGCAUUAAAUUGCUAAAUAACAUAUGGGGAUUUCCGGAAUUGUUGUUUCUUGUUUCCGGCCUCACUUAAACUUGCCUAAAUUGUUAGUUUAAUUAUGCUUCACCCUCUUGCCAUGUUAACCAACAUUUAAUCUUGUCUUGUUCAUAACCGAGAGAAAAACUAAAUAAUUGAUGUGGUGUUUCGUCAAUAGGCAACUCGUUGCAUAUUGAGCUCCACUUAACUUGUAGUGUUGUUUGUUGCAUAUUGCCAUGCCAUGCCUCUUUAAACCGGACAUACAUCAGACUUGUUUGCGCAUCAUGCCAUGUUUAUGUGAUGGUUGUUUACUAUGUUGUUUGUUUCUUUCCGGGUUGCCUCUCUCGUUAGCUUUGGUUUCGUUCCGGAGUUGUGAGGAUCCGUUCGACUUCGUUUGUUUGUCUUCUUCAUGGACUCGUUCUUCUUCCUUGCGGGAUUUCAGGCAAGAUGAUCAUACCCUCGAAAUCACUACUAUCUUUGCUAUGCUAGUUUGCUCGCUCUUUUGCUAUGCCAAUGCUAUGAUGCCUACCAUUUGCUUGUCAGCCUCCCAAAUUGCCAUGUCAAACCUCUAACCUUUGACACCAUUCCUAGCAAACCGUUGUUUGGCUAUGUUACCGCUUUGCUCAGCCCCUCUUAUAGCGUUGUUAGUUGCAGGUGAAGAUGAAGUUUGUUCCUUGUUGGAACAUGGAGAUGUUGUUCCUUGUUGGAACAUGUUUACUUGUUGGGAUAUCACAAUAUCUCUUAUUUAAUUAAUGCAUCUAUAUACUUGGUAAAGGGUGGAAGGCUCGGCCUUAUGCCUGGUGUUUUGUUCCACUCUUGCCGCCCUAGUUUCCGUCAUACCGGUGUUAUGUUCCCGGAUUUUGCGUUCCUUACGCGGUCGGGUGAUUUAUGGGACCCCCUUGACAGUUCGCUUUGAAUAAAACUCCUCCAGCAAGGCCCAACCUUGGUUUUACCAUUUGCCUACCUAAGCCUUUUUCCCUUGGGUUCUGCAGACUCAAGGGUCAUCUUUAUUUUACCCCCCGGGCCAGUGCUCCUUCGAGUGUUGGUCCAACCUGAGCGAUGUCCGGCGCCCCCUGGGCAACCAGGGUCUAUGCCAACCCGUCGUCUUGCUCAUCCGGUGUGCCCUGAGAACGAGAUAUGUGCAGCUCCUAUCGAGAUUUGUCGGCACAUCGGGCGGCUUUGCUGGUCUUGUUUUACCAUUGUCGAAAUGUCUUGAUGUACCGGGAUACCGAGUCUGAUCGGAGUGUCUUGGGUGAAGGUCUAUUCCUUCGUUGAUCGCGAGAGCUUGUCAUGGGCUAAGUUGGGACACCCCUGCAGGGUAUAAACUUUUGAGAGCCGUGCCCGCGGUUAUGUGGCAGAUGGGAAUUUGUUAAUGUCCGGUUGUAGAAAACCUGAAGUUGACCUUAAUUAAAAUACAUCAACCGUGUGUGUAACCGUGAUGGUCUCUUUCCGGCGGAGUCCGGGAAGUGAACACGGUGUUGGAGUUAUGCUUGACGCAGGUUGCUAUAGGAUCACUUCUUGAUCAUACUUUUAUCGACCGUGCUUUGCCUUCUCUUCUCGCUCUCAUUUGCGUAUGUUAGCCACCUUAUAUGCUAGUCGCUUGCUGCAGCUCCACCUCAUUACUACAUCCUUCCUAUAAGCUUAAAUAGUCUUGAUCUCGCGGGUGCGAGAUUGCUGAGUCCUCGUGACUCACCAGAUACUUCCAAAACCAGUUUGCAGGUGCCUAUGUUACCGAGCAGGUGACGCAACCAAGCUCAAGGAGGAGCUCGAUGAAGAUCUUGCCCCUUUGUGUUGUUUCGUUCUAGUUGAUCAGUAGUGGAGCCCAGUUGGGGUCGAUCGGGGACCUUUGUCGCAUUUGGGUUCUUCUUUUAUUUUGGUUCCGUAGUCGGACCUUGAUUGUAUCUGGAUGAUGUAAUGCUUUAUUCAUGUAUUUGUGUGAAGUGGCGAUUGUAAGCCAACUAUGUAUCUCUUUCCCUUAUGUAUUACAUGGGUUGUGUGAAGAUUACCUCACUUGCGACAUUGCUUUCAAUGCGGUUAUGCCUCUAAGUCGUGCUUCGACACGUGGGAGAUAUAGCCGCAUCGAGG
This 8945-nucleotide long non-coding RNA is filed under the name Triticum aestivum (bread wheat). Its description in RNAcentral is "long non-coding RNA (TAES_LNC016410)". The record is from RNAcentral. Lineage: Eukaryota; Viridiplantae; Streptophyta; Magnoliopsida; Poales; Poaceae.